Molecule: ribosomal RNA, 481 nt
Filed under: uncultured bacterium
Lineage: Bacteria
Description: partial 16S ribosomal RNA
Rfam family: Bacterial small subunit ribosomal RNA
Source: RNAcentral
GACGAACGCUGGCGGCGUGCUCAACACAUGCAAGUCGAGCGGAAAGGCCACUUCGGUGGUACUCGAGCGGCGAACGGGUGAGUAACACGUGAGUAAUCUGCCCCUGGCUUUGGGAUAGCCACCGGAAACGGUGAUUAAUACCGGAUACGAUCACUUCUCGCAUGGGAUGGUGGUGGAAAGUUUUUUCGGCCAGGGAUGUGCUCGCGGCCUAUCAGCUUGAUGGUGAGGUAAUGGCUCACCAUGGCUUCGACGGGUAGCCGGCCUGAGCGGGUGACCGGGAACACUGGGACUGCGACACGGCACGGACUGCUACGGGAGGCAGCAGUGGGGAAUAUUGGACAAUGGGCGGAAGCCUGAUCCAGCAACGCCGCGUGAGGGAUGACGGCCUUCGGGUUGUAAACCUCUUUCAGCAGGGACGAAGCGCAAGUGACGGUACCUGCAGAAGUAGCACCGGCCAACUACGUGCCAGCAGCCGCCGCGG